This 574-nucleotide long non-coding RNA is filed under the name Elaeis guineensis (African oil palm). Its description in RNAcentral is "long non-coding RNA (EGUI_LNC000664)". The record is from RNAcentral. Lineage: Eukaryota; Viridiplantae; Streptophyta; Magnoliopsida; Arecales; Arecaceae.
CCCUAUUUAUUUAUUUAUUUUUUUUGUUAUGGGUUUUGAUGGGCUGAAUUGAUUUUGGACUAUAACAAAGGCAGUAAUAUUUCGAGUGAUGGUGGUGACGGCUUCUUUUGCGCCGGUCACGUCCCAAGGCAUGCGCAAAGUUGAGAAAUUAAUUGCCCAUUUGGGCAGUGCUUCACUUUUCUUUUUGGUUGAACGGGUAGUGCUUCAUGUAAAAUGCAAAAAGUUUCGAAGCACACCCUAUUGGAAUAUUAAAUAUACUAAUAAUAUUAAUAAAGUAAGCAUGGCUGGUGGGCCUUUAGAAUUUCCACAUUAAGGCAUCACCAAAGUUAAAGUAGCACUAGGAUACCUAGUUAAUGAUAUCCUACCAUGUCAAGAUAAAGAAAUCCUAAGCCUAACUAAUCAACCAAUGAGAGAGAUGGCUAGCCAUGUCCUAAUUAAUCGAAUAAAAGACUUUUUGUGCUUGAAAGGUACGUGCACUUUGUAUCAUGUAUUAUUUUAUUCUUCUAAGCAUAGUUAGCUAAGAAUAAAUAUUUCACACAUGCCAUAUGUGGUAUUAAAUAAAGAUAUCGUGGGC